RNAcentral lists this unclassified non-coding RNA (251 nucleotides) under uncultured soil eukaryote. Its description in RNAcentral is "sequence contains ITS2". The record is from RNAcentral.
GAUAUGAGGUAAUAUGAGGUAUAUUGCCUGAGGGCAGGCAGAGAUGGGAUGGCGCACGUUGGGCGCGUUGAGUGCCGUCGAGUGCGGAUCCUGAAAUGGAGAGAGUUUCCAAAAAGGAAAGGGCACUUUUGCCAUGUGUCAGAGGCUGAAUGGUCUUGUGAUGGCAAAAGAGUCCAGUGGUAGGCAACAUAACAUGUACAUGUAACAUGUAACCAACCACCUAACCACUAACCACCAACACUAAAUCACAC